ACAUGCAAGUCGCACGAGAACGCUUCAGCUUGCUGAAGCUAGUAAAGUGGCGUACGGGUGAGUAACGCGUGGGUAAUCUACCUCCAAAUUGGGGAUAACAUUGCGAAAGCGAUGCUAAUACCGAAUAAUAUCUCCAAAACUUCGGUUUUAGAGAUCAAAGAUGGCCUCUCCAUGGAAGCUACUGUUAGGAGAUGAGCCCGCGUACCAUUAGCUUGUUGGUAGGGUAAUGGCCUACCAAGGCGACGAUGGUUAGCUGGUCUGAGAGGAUGAUCAGCCACACUGGAACUGACACACGGUCCAGACUCCUACGGGAGGCAGCAGUGAGGAAUUUUGCGCAAUGGGGGAAACCCUGACGCAGCAACGCCGCGUGAGUGAUGAAGGCUUUCGGGUCGUAAAGCUCUGUCAAGUGGGAAGAACCUGCCCAGUGCUAAUAUCACCGGGCACUGACGGUACCACUGAAGGAAGCACCGGCUAACUCCGUG
This 482-nucleotide ribosomal RNA is filed under the name uncultured bacterium. RNAcentral's name for it is "bacterial SSU rRNA". It matches the Rfam family "Bacterial small subunit ribosomal RNA", at positions 53 to 507 of the family's 1533-position model. The record is from RNAcentral.